Cyprinus carpio carpio is the source of this 1332-nucleotide long non-coding RNA. NCBI's taxonomy places the organism in Eukaryota, Metazoa, Chordata, Actinopteri, Cypriniformes, Cyprinidae. The record is from Ensembl.
CUGAGUUCUUACUUUGUUAGUUGUUAGUUAUUUAGUUGUGCCACAUGUCUUAGAAUGUUAAUGUGUGUCAGUAAAAGUUGGUUAAUGCACACUUGGCACAACUAAAUAACUAACUCAUUAAAAUGAACCAACUUAUACUGAUAUUCAUUUACAUUCUAAAACACUAGGUUAAACUCAAUAACUAAUAAAUGAAUUAACAAACAAACGGAUUCAGUACUGAAACUCAUUUACAUUCUAAGGCACUUGGCACAAAUAUGAUGAAGCACUGAGUGGCGCACACCAAAUGGCCGCUUGACCAUGCUGUAUUGUGCAUCACACAUCAGCCUGACGUCUCCAUAUGCUCUCGUUGCCAUUGGAGAUGUAGUAUCUUUUGUCUGCCUCCAGCAUCACUCCACCGUCACCCUUCUGUGAUUGCUGAAACGGACCCAAUCAGUAUUUGGUUUGGAGCUCCAUGUACUGCACAAGUUUGUAAAUCCAGAUGAUCAUGUUCUCCAACAAGAUUUGAAAAAUGCUAAAAAAUGGUCUCUUCUCCGUGGCUCCCGUAAAAUGAAAGUGUGGUUUUUCUCUGGUUCUGUGCAGCAGAGGAUGCCCUGUGGAUCGAUCAGUGGCCUUCCAUCAGGUGGCUGCUAAUGAAUGAGAUGAGAGUGGGAGGGUGAGUCUAGUGAAGUAUUGCUCUCUUCAGCAGAGUUCUUGUCUCCGGGUCUGACAGCAUCCUCCCCCCGGCCGCUUCACCACUAUCUGUCCAGUCACUAUCAAUUACUAAGCUCUGAAACAUCCUGCACCCUGUACACCUUCCACGGCGAGUGUGAAUGCACAUGUCGGGGCCUUGACCUGCUAUGUGUGUGCGUGCCGCAUGUCAGGAAACGAGAGGACAAAGAUGUUGGAGCUCUGGUACAGUGGUCAACCCAUGCAGUAUUAAUGGAGAGGCUCAGCUGGCCAGAGAGAAAUGGUUAUGAGUACCAAGCUUUUGGAAAGUUUGCAAUAUUCUCAAAGAGCUCUGAAGGAGACCGGCACAGAAAUGGGGAUGGAAAGAAUGGGAUUCGGUAUAUGCUGAUGAAGAGGAAUUCAAGAUUGAUGAUGAUGAAUCAUGAUGAGUCACUGUAAAAAAGUCAGAGACUAGUGCAAUGUGGUGAUAAUAACAACAGCUGUGGUCAUGAAAUGAUUCAGACAUCUGCUCCCCAUUGAAUAUUUUGUUUACUCUCAUAAUGAGGCAACAGCUUAUUUAGCAUGUUUUAUUAUUACUGAACUAAUCAAUGCAGGGGACUACAGAGUGUGUCCUGGGUCAUGUUCAUCCAGUGUGGCUUACUACGUCAGCCUGGAAAGUUUCGAAAG